RNAcentral lists this ribosomal RNA (630 nucleotides) under Acinetobacter calcoaceticus. Its description in RNAcentral is "bacterial SSU rRNA". It matches the Rfam family "Bacterial small subunit ribosomal RNA", at positions 56 to 681 of the family's 1533-position model. Lineage: Bacteria; Pseudomonadati; Pseudomonadota; Gammaproteobacteria; Moraxellales; Moraxellaceae. The record is from RNAcentral.
UGCAGUCGAGCGGAGAGAGGUAGCUUGCUACUGAUCUUAGCGGCGGACGGGUGAGUAAUGCUUAGGAAUCUGCCUAUUAGUGGGGGACAACAUUUCGAAAGGAAUGCUAAUACCGCAUACGUCCUACGGGAGAAAGCAGGGGAUCUUCGGACCUUGCGCUAAUAGAUGAGCCUAAGUCGGAUUAGCUAGUUGGUGGGGUAAAGGCCUACCAAGGCGACGAUCUGUAGCGGGUCUGAGAGGAUGAUCCGCCACACUGGGACUGAGACACGGCCCAGACUCCUACGGGAGGCAGCAGUGGGGAAUAUUGGACAAUGGGCGCAAGCCUGAUCCAGCCAUGCCGCGUGUGUGAAGAAGGCCUUAUGGUUGUAAAGCACUUUAAGCGAGGAGGAGGCUACUUUAGUUAAUACCUAGAGAUAGUGGACGUUACUCGCAGAAUAAGCACCGGCUAACUCUGUGCCAGCAGCCGCGGUAAUACAGAGGGUGCAAGCGUUAAUCGGAUUUACUGGGCGUAAAGCGCGCGUAGGCGGCUAAUUAAGUCAAAUGUGAAAUCCCCGAGCUUAACUUGGGAAUUGCAUUCGAUACUGGUUAGCUAGAGUGUGGGAGAGGAUGGUAGAAUUCUAGGUGUAGCGG